UUAUAAUAUUUUAGUACGAAAGGACCAAAUAUUAGAAUAAUUAUAUUUUUAAAAAAGAAUAUUAUUAAUAUG
Molecule: ribosomal RNA, 72 nt
Filed under: Drosophila affinis
Lineage: Eukaryota; Metazoa; Arthropoda; Insecta; Diptera; Drosophilidae
Also listed under: 1 other name
Description: partial 16S ribosomal RNA
Source: RNAcentral